CUUGUGCUAAUACCGAAUAAGCCCUUACGGGGAAAGUUUUAAUGCCGAAAGAUGAGCCCGCACUUGAUUAGCUAGUUGGUAAGGUAAAAGCUUACCAAGGCAACGAUCAAUAGCUGUUCUUAGAGGAAGACCAGCCACAUUGGGACUGAGACACGGCCCAGACUCCUACGGGAGGCAGCAGUGGGGAAUCUUGCACAAUGGGGGAAACCCUGAUGCAGCGAUGCCGCGUGAGUGAAGAAGGCCUUUGGGUUGUAAAACUCUUUCGUCGGGGAAGAAAAUG
This 280-nucleotide ribosomal RNA is filed under the name uncultured bacterium. Its description in RNAcentral is "partial 16S ribosomal RNA". It matches the Rfam family "Bacterial small subunit ribosomal RNA", at positions 157 to 453 of the family's 1533-position model. The record is from RNAcentral.